UGAGUACGACGGAGCACGUGAAAUUCCGUCGGAAUCUGGGAGGACCAUCUCCUAAGGCUAAAUACUCUCUAGUGACCGAUAGUGAACCAGUACCGUGAGGGAAAGGUGAAAAGCACCCCGGAAGGGGAGUGAAAUAGAACCUGAAACCGUGUGCUUACAAGUAGUCAGAGCCCGUUAAUGGGUGAUGGCGUGCCUUUUGUAGAAUGAACCGGCGAGUUACGAUUUGAUGCAAGGUUAAGCAGUAAAUGUGGAGCCGUAGCGAAAGCGAGUCUGAAUAGGGCGUUUAGUAUUUGGUCGUAGACCCGAAACCAGGUGAUCUACCCUUGGUCAGGUUGAAGUUCAGGUAACACUGAAUGGAGGACCGAACCGACUUACGUUGAAAAGUGAGCGGAUGAACUGAGGGUAGCGGAGAAAUUCCAAUCGAACCUGGAGAUAGCUGGUUCUCUCCGAAAUAGCUUUAGGGCUAGCCUCAAGUGAUGAUUAUUGGAGGUAGAGCACUGUUUGGACGAGGGGCCCCUCUCGGGUUACCGAAUUCAGACAAACUCCGAAUGCCAAUUAAUUUAACUUGGGAGUCAGAACAUGGGUGAUAAGGUCCGUGUUCGAAAGGGAAACAGCCCAGACCACCAGCUAAGGUCCCAAAAUAUAUGUUAAGUGGAAAAGGAUGUGGCGUUGCCCAGACAACUAGGAUGUUGGCUUAGAAGCAGCCAUCAUUUAAAGAGUGCGUAAUAGCUCACUAGUCGAGUGACACUGCGCCGAAAAUGUACCGGGGCUAAACAUAUUACCGAAGCUGUGGAUUGUCCUUUGGACAAUGGUAGGAGAGCGUUCUAAGGGCGUUGAAGCAUGAUCGUAAGGACAUGUGGAGCGCUUAGAAGUGAGAAUGCCGGUGUGAGUAGCGAAAGACGGGUGAGAAUCCCGUCCACCGAUUGACUAAGGUUUCCAGAGGAAGGCUCGUCCGCUCUGGGUUAGUCGGGUCCUAAGCUGAGGCCGACAGGCGUAGGCGAUGGAUAACAGGUUGAUAUUCCUGUACCACCUAUAAUCGUUUUAAUCGAUGGGGGGACGCAGUAGGAUAGGCGAAGCGUGCGAUUGGAUUGCACGUCUAAGCAGUAAGGCUGAGUAUUAGGCAAAUCCGGUACUCGUUAAGGCUGAGCUGUGAUGGGGAGAAGACAUUGUGUCUUCGAGUCGUUGAUUUCACACUGCCGAGAAAAGCCUCUAGAUAGAAAAUAGGUGCCCGUACCGCAAACCGACACAGGUAGUCAAGAUGAGAAUUCUAAGGUGAGCGAGCGAACUCUCGUUAAGGAACUCGGCAAAAUGACCCCGUAACUUCGGGAGAAGGGGUGCUCUUUAGGGUUAACGCCCAGAAGAGCCGCAGUGAAUAGGCCCAAGCGACUGUUUAUCAAAAACACAGGUCUCUGCUAAACCGUAAGGUGAUGUAUAGGGGCUGACGCCUGCCCGGUGCUGGAAGGUUAAGAGGAGUGGUUAGCUUCUGCGAAGCUACGAAUCGAAGCCCCAGUAAACGGCGGCCGUAACUAUAACGGUCCUAAGGUAGCGAAAUUCCUUGUCGGGUAAGUUCCGACCCGCACGAAAGGCGUAACGAUUUGGGCACUGUCUCAACGAGAGACUCGGUGAAAUCAUAGUACCUGUGAAGAUGCAGGUUACCCGCGACAGGACGGAAAGACCCCGUGGAGCUUUACUGUAGCCUGAUAUUGAAAUUCGGCACAGCUUGUACAGGAUAGGUAGGAGCCUUUGAAACGUGAGCGCUAGCUUACGUGGAGGCGCUGGUGGG
RNAcentral lists this ribosomal RNA (1783 nucleotides) under Staphylococcus aureus. Its description in RNAcentral is "partial 23S ribosomal RNA". It matches the Rfam family "Bacterial large subunit ribosomal RNA", at positions 409 to 2196 of the family's 2925-position model. Lineage: Bacteria; Bacillati; Bacillota; Bacilli; Caryophanales; Staphylococcaceae. The record is from RNAcentral.